This 357-nucleotide transfer-messenger RNA is filed under the name Oricola cellulosilytica. Its description in RNAcentral is "Alphaproteobacteria transfer-messenger RNA". It matches the Rfam family "Alphaproteobacteria transfer-messenger RNA". Rfam says of the family: Bacterial tmRNA, also known as 10Sa RNA or SsrA, is named for its dual tRNA and mRNA-like properties. The record is from Rfam by way of RNAcentral. Lineage: Bacteria; Pseudomonadati; Pseudomonadota; Alphaproteobacteria; Hyphomicrobiales; Ahrensiaceae.
CCCUUUGAAAUCGCGGCGCGAAGUGUCUAUAUCUGGAAGUGCCGGGCAACCGGCUAUGACAAUAAACUGGCGAUGCAAUAAACCAUUCGGACCCGGGGGCGGUACCCGGCGCCUCCACCAUAAACGGUUCCGCCGAACCGCUUGUGAUGGGGGCGAAACAGGAUCGACGAGGGUGUAAAGAUCGUUCUUUUGUCCGGUAUGAUACCACCGUUAUCGGGUCAAUUCAGUAGUUGCAAACGACAACUAUGCAGAGGCACGUCUCGCUGCCUAAUGGCGGUGCGACAGCUUCAAAUUAAGUCCUAGGGGUUUGCCCCUCUAGGCGGGGUUCGGAGGCACCUGGCAACAGAAGCCUUCACU